RNAcentral lists this ribosomal RNA (484 nucleotides) under uncultured bacterium. Its description in RNAcentral is "partial 16S ribosomal RNA". It matches the Rfam family "Bacterial small subunit ribosomal RNA", at positions 30 to 507 of the family's 1533-position model. The record is from RNAcentral.
AUUGAACGCUGGCGGCAGGCCUAACACAUGCAAGUCGAGCGGAUGAAGGGAGCUUGCUCCUGGAUUCAGCGGCGGACGGGUGAGUAAUGCCUAGGAAUCUGCCUGGUAGUGGGGGAUAACGUCCGGAAACGGGCGCUAAUACCGCAUACGUCCUGAGGGAGAAAGUGGGGGAUCUUCGGACCUCACGCUAUCAGAUGAGCCUAGGUCGGAUUAGCUAGUUGGUGGGGUAAGGGCCUACCAAGGCGACGAUCCGUAACUGGUCUGAGAGGAUGAUCAGUCACACUGGAACUGAGACGCGGUCCAGACUCCUACGGGAGGCAGCAGUGGGGAAUAUUGGACAAUGGGCGAAAGCCUGAUCCAGCCAUGCCGCGUGUGUGAAGAAGGUCUUCGGAUUGUAAAGCACUUUAAGUUGGGAGGAAGGGCAGUAAGUUAAUACCUUGCUGUUUUGACGUUACCAACAGAAUAAGCACCGGCUAACUUCGUG